Molecule: long non-coding RNA, 476 nt
Organism: Callithrix jacchus (white-tufted-ear marmoset)
Lineage: Eukaryota; Metazoa; Chordata; Mammalia; Primates; Cebidae
Source: RefSeq, a predicted model, not a curated record
ACAGGCAUAUAAUGAGGACUCUUAAGUGGCUCUGUUGGGAGGUCCUUACAAUGAAGAACUGAGGUCUCUUGCUGGUAACUGUCACCUACUUGGUAGCCAUGUGAAUCAGGCAUCCUGCAGGUGGGUCCUCCAGCCACAGCCAAGCCUUCAAAUGACUACAUCUCCACCUGAUAUUUGGACUGCAAGCCCUUGAGAAAGCUGAGCCAGAACUACAAGUCACCUUCUGAAUCCCUGAAUCAUAGAUUGGUCAUAGGUGGAAGAAACUUGCCUUGUUUCAGAUAAGACUUUGAACUGUGGACUUUUGGGUUAUUGCUGGAACCAGAAUAUCACAGGGAGAAGAAAGAAGCCAUAGAGGAUAAAGCUGAGGAGAAGGAAAAAAAGACAAGAAAGAGAAAGAGCAGAAGAAGCAAGAGGAAGCAGAGUAGGAGAGAGAGGAAGAUGGGGGAGGAGGAAGAGGAGAAAGCUGAGAAAGCAGA